This 199-nucleotide ribosomal RNA is filed under the name uncultured bacterium. RNAcentral describes it as "partial 16S ribosomal RNA". It matches the Rfam family "Bacterial small subunit ribosomal RNA", at positions 1294 to 1500 of the family's 1533-position model. The record is from RNAcentral.
CGGAUUGGAGGCUGAAACCCGCCUCCAUGAAGUUGGAUUCGCUAGUAAUCGCGCAUCAGCCAUGGCGCGGUGAAUACGUUCCCGGGCCUUGUACACACCGCCCGUCAAGCCAUGGGAGCCGGGGGUGCCUGAAGUUCGUGAUCGCAAGGAGCGACCUAGGGCAAAACUGGUGACUGGGGCUAAGUCGUAACAAGGUACC